Molecule: unclassified non-coding RNA, 254 nt
Filed under: uncultured fungus
Lineage: Eukaryota; Fungi
Description: partial contains 5.8S ribosomal RNA, internal transcribed spacer 2, and large subunit ribosomal RNA
Rfam family: 5.8S ribosomal RNA (bases 1-52)
Source: RNAcentral
AACGCACAUUGCGCCCCCCGGUAUUCCGGGGGGCAUGCCUGUCCGAGCGUCAUUGCACCCCUCAAGCACGGCUUGGUUUUGGGCGACCGUCCCCCGGGACGCGCCCCAAAUGCAUUGGCGGCACCGGCCCCGGUGUCCGGAGCGUAUGGGACCCCCGUCACGCCCGCAGGACCCGGCCGGCGCCGGCCGCAACUGAUCGCUAUUGACCUUCCAGGUUUGACCUCGGAUCAGGUAGGGAUACCCGCUGAACUUAA